UAUAUUGCCCAUGCCCCCUGAACGUGCCUGAUCAUGUCUGAUAUCAGAAGCUAAGCAGGGUCGGGCCUGGUUAGUACUUGGAUGGGAGUUACAACAUUUUUAAAAUCUAUUUGGUUUAAAC
RNAcentral lists this ribosomal RNA (121 nucleotides) under Microcebus murinus (gray mouse lemur). The record is from RNAcentral. Lineage: Eukaryota; Metazoa; Chordata; Mammalia; Primates; Cheirogaleidae.